Non-coding RNA from Parelaphostrongylus tenuis, 71 nucleotides. The record is from the annotation of a GenBank genome assembly. NCBI's taxonomy places the organism in Eukaryota, Metazoa, Nematoda, Chromadorea, Rhabditida, Metastrongylidae.
GCCUCAGUGGUACAAUGGUAGCACGCGCCCCUAGGAUGGGUGAGAAGCAGGCUCGACUCCCGGCUGAGGUC